Molecule: long non-coding RNA, 1133 nt
Filed under: Sparus aurata (gilthead seabream)
Lineage: Eukaryota; Metazoa; Chordata; Actinopteri; Spariformes; Sparidae
Description: lncRNA (ENSSAUG00010017248.1)
Source: RNAcentral
UGAACUAUUAAAAUUACACUACAACAUUUUAACACAUGCAUGUCCUCUGCUCCUCCAAUUCCUCCGUGCUUCCUCAGGCUGGAGGGUGGAGCGUUGAGGGGAAGCGAAGUGUAAAGGCCUCCGCCUCCUUAAGCUCAUUGUGGACUCCACCCGUGAGAGGAGACGUCUCUCUGGAAGCCUCUAAAUCCAGCUACACCCUGCAGAUGGCCUCCGCCUACGGCAAGCACAAUAUCAGCCUCGCUGCUGCCCUGAACACUGUGGAGAAGGUGGGUGGCAAUACUGGGCUUCGUCCGUGGUGUGGAUGUGUUAAGUUAAAUGUUUUUAACACGUUUGAAUAAUCUCUGCUUCUUUAAGAAUCUGAAAAAGAGGCAAGCGAUGCUGAAGAUGAGCUUCUCAAAGCCGAAGAGCCCGUCCACAGAACUGGAGUUGGAGGGAGUCAUAGAGGAGCUGAGGAGGGACAAGAAGAUGUAUCAGAAAACAGCAAUGCUUCAGCUCAGACAGCCCUUACAGACCUUCCCUCAGACUCUUUUCCUGCGGGAGACCUUUACCGUCGACCUCCUCAAAGGCCUCUACAUCCUGGAGUCGAAGGCUGGUUUCCAAGGCAACAGAGAGGUCAUCCACACCCUCACCCUCGGCUACCAGCCGCCGAGCCCUUUUGUAAGUUAAGAGCGAGUCAGUCCAAACACAAAGUGAGUGAGUAUUUGAUUACUGUUUUCAGGGAUUUUUUUUUACUUUUUGUAACUCUUCCAAUAUUCAGGUUUGUUCUGCGCUGAUCCAUCCUUUCAGCUCCGACACAGUUCCGUCAGACUCAGAGAUCUGUGUGACUGUAACCAGCAACCAGGUAACCAACCAUAUGAUGCCCAUUUUCAAGCUCAUGCUUUCAUGUUAUGUGUCAACAAGAAAAUAUUUAUAUUCUUUGUUUGAAAAAAAUUAAAAAUAUUCUCACACCGUCCAUUGCUGCAUCAUUUCUAUUCACCAUCUUGAAUGCUCCGUUCUCAUGUCUCUUUAAGGCCCCCCUCCCCAAAAACGCCAGGCUGCUCUGAUUGGUCAACUCUCAAAGGCCUGAGCAGGCACUGCCUAUUGUGUGUUUCUGCAUCAACACUGCUACUUUUUUUUGCUCGGCGCGCUAUGAC